Molecule: small RNA, 177 nt
Filed under: Arabidopsis thaliana (thale cress)
Lineage: Eukaryota; Viridiplantae; Streptophyta; Magnoliopsida; Brassicales; Brassicaceae
Description: ATSL109140
Source: RNAcentral
ACUCAAGCAUCGGGAUAUACUGAGCCAUGGCUCCAGUAACGAUGACGUCAAGGUACUUAGUGUUAGGCCAAAUCUUAGUAAUAAUACCUUCCCAACUAUUGUCUUGACCACAUACCGAAGUUAUGAAAUCAGCCAGUUCUUGGUCCGGUUUGGUCAAGAUCUUGGACAUGCUCUCUU